Manacus vitellinus (golden-collared manakin) is the source of this 348-nucleotide long non-coding RNA. RefSeq lists it as uncharacterized. The record is from RefSeq and is a predicted model, not a curated record. Lineage: Eukaryota; Metazoa; Chordata; Aves; Passeriformes; Pipridae. The transcript is spliced from 3 exons.
UUUGUUGUAAGAGAGUUUUAAUUAACUUAUUUAAACCCAGAUAUUUAAAGCCAGCUGUCUGGAGACCCUGCUCUGCAUGCACUGACCAGAAAAGAUCUGUUUUCCAGACGCUUGCAAUAUCAUCCCUGAUUUUUUUCCAUGCCCUGUAAGCUCUGAAAAUGCAAAGGAUACCUAAGAAAGCUGCCAUGGUUCACUUGUGUGGGAUGAAAUGGCAGAGGAAAAGGGUUUUCUGAGGAGGGGACACCAAAGAUUCAGGGAAGGCUUCUCCAAGCCAGCAGCCAAGAGACAGAUUCCAAAAAUGAGGAAUUGCGUCUCCUUGACCCCCAGGUUGUUCUGCUCCAUUGGUCU